RNAcentral lists this transfer RNA (73 nucleotides) under Agrilus planipennis (emerald ash borer). It matches the Rfam family "tRNA". Rfam says of the family: Transfer RNA (tRNA) molecules are approximately 80 nucleotides in length. Their secondary structure includes four short double-helical elements and three loops (D, anti-codon, and T loops). Further hydrogen bonds mediate the characteristic L-shaped molecular structure. tRNAs have two regions of fundamental functional importance: the anti-codon, which is responsible for specific mRNA codon recognition, and the 3' end, to which the tRNAs corresponding amino acid is attached (by aminoacyl-tRNA synthetases). tRNAs cope with the degeneracy of the genetic code in two manners: having more than one tRNA (with a specific anti-codon) for a particular amino acid; and 'wobble' base-pairing, i.e. permitting non-standard base-pairing at the 3rd anti-codon position. Lineage: Eukaryota; Metazoa; Arthropoda; Insecta; Coleoptera; Buprestidae. The record is from Rfam by way of RNAcentral.
ACUCUCGUCGCUGAGUGGUCAGGGCAUUGAUGCGUAAAACCAAAGGUCCCGGGUUCAAUUCCCGGCGACGGUG